This is a long non-coding RNA of Gasterosteus aculeatus aculeatus (three-spined stickleback), 2955 nucleotides long. The record is from Ensembl. NCBI's taxonomy places the organism in Eukaryota, Metazoa, Chordata, Actinopteri, Perciformes, Gasterosteidae.
GCUGAAAUAACCAUCCUAUUAUUAAAUGUACUUAUUUUUUUAAUACCGUCACAAUGAAAAAAUAAACAGAACGGCUGCAUAACAAACGAUGGAAAUGGGGGUUUGAGGUUUUGGCAUUUAGCAGGCAGGGAGGGUCUGACAAUGAGCAGCAUUGUGUUGCAUUGUGGGAGAGGUGAAGAAUCCAACGUAUGGAGAUGAAGGAAAGUGACAGUCGCCAUGGUUACGCCAGUCAGCUCGCUUUAGAUGUUGUGUGUACACUGGGCUUUAUCCGUCACUAUGAAAUGAACCUUUAGUUAAUAAAUGAAGUUGUGUUCUGUGCAGCGAUUCAUUGUAUUAUACUCUGUAAUGUAUGCACAGUAUUGGAAGAUUAUUUAAAACUCUACGCAGUUCUUUAAUGCUGUUUGACGGCAUCCGGCAGCUGAAGAUCAUUUCAUCUCCUUUGCGCUUCGGAUGGUGCGAGAUCUUGCAAGAAGACCCAGUGCUCUUUACAUGCAUGGACGGGGACUAUUUUUCUCUGAGCUACUGAAAUGCGAUACAACUGGCUACAACUAUUUUGUGGCUACAAAAGCUGCGCGUCGGGCCUAACAACCCCCCCGACUGUUAGAUUAUUGGACGAUAAAGUAAAGCCUCUCGUACCUUAUUGCUUAAAUAUAAUUGAAAUAUUGUGACAACUGUUCUCUCCACUUCCAAAGUGUACAUCGUAUUUCCUCCUCCCAUACGCAUUCAGCCCUUUCCUCUUCCUUCUCCCUCUCCCAUCCGUCCGAACGUGAGCCGAGGCGUCCCCCACUCUGCUGGUCGUCCCUUGUUAUGCAUCAGACCAACAAAGAGAAGAAACGCAGUCUGAUAGAACAAUCAGCCGGUGACAGCAGAACACAGGGAGAGUUCUUACGCCUUCUGUUCGUCUGCCUGAAACAAAUGAAGCCGGCGGGGGCCUCGGCUUUUAUCGGGGACAGCUUGUCGCAGAUAAUGCUCUCAUUUGGUGGGAAAUUGACCCCAGGCGCUGAAUCCGCUCCAAGAUAAGUGCGUCGAGCUGGAAUGCAUGUAGGACUUUAUUGGAGCAAUAAAAAGAGAGAAUGGCAUUAUUGCAGGGAGUUAGAAGUGUGAGAGGGGUGUCCGCGUCGACGGGGAGAAAAGAACCGGCGCAAGACGUGACCUCAAUAUACAUUGUGGCUGCUGCAUGCAGAGCAUGCAGAGCGGCAAAGCAACGCCUUUAUUUUCCUGAUCGCGUGGGGUUUCUGAAUCAAUUGCAGAACUCAUUCUUGUUGCUCUUUUUCCUGGUUCUUUUAACAGCAGUGAGUUGUGAUGUUGUGACGAUAAUAAUGCAUUUGUAAUAUCAUCAUUACUGUCGGCAUCAGUCUAAUUGUAGUUCCAAAAUCAAGAGCGAUGCAUUCAAUCCUCAAAGUAGUUAUAUUUGAACUGCUUUAGGUUUCAGACCACCGUAAUGAGCUUUAGGCGACUUUUACAGUUACAUUUGUUACCUGGUUGUUAGUUAUUUUCAUAACAACAUACAUGCUCACUUAAAUAAUCUUAUUCAUUUAUGAAACAAAGGUCUGAAGAGCAUGAUUUAUGUUGUAACCUCGUUUAAAUUUAACGGGAAAGGGUUCGUACUUUCUAUUUCUGCUCUUCAACAGUUCAUCUUUAACUGAUCAGACAAACAACAACACUCGUUGAUUUUCCCCUCAGAGCACCUUCACCCCCGAGGUGCUGCCUUUUCCACCUCCGGCCCAUGAAACUGUGACUCCUCCCCCCUCCGCAGGAAGGACAGCUGCUGAAUGGGACGCACAAAAAAUAACCACCACGGCAUGUGAAACAUAACCCUUUAUCAACAUUGUGCAAUAUCACAUUUCAAUUUCCUGUCCAAUAUCAUUUUCGUUAGUCGGACGUUACGUGAAGUCAUGUUCUUUGCUGUUCUUCUUUCAUUUUAAUAAUCCUACACCAUUUUUCAUCCAGAAUUUAAUGCUGCUUCGAGCCUCCAGCUGAUGGAAAAGGGUUUUGAUGUUUUUUUUCUUCUCCCGUGUAACGAAAGUCCUGUAAAAUGCUGUUUCAUUCAUUUGUGGUUCCCAAACUUUUUCUGUCGAGCCCCCCUUUGAUGGCACAGGACCAUUGGAGGUGUUUGUGCUCGUCUCCGCACCUGAUAUUUAUCUUUUUCACUUCUUCUUUCCGUGUCUCUGACAUGAGGAGGUGUUUGGACCGCGUCCCCCCCUAGGGGGUGCGCCCCCCAGUUUGGAAACCACUGGUCCAGAGGGAAGGAGGGAAGUGAUGUGCAUGUAUAUUCACAAGUGACUGGAUGAUAUUUAACCAGCCAGCGGCAGUGCUUUGUGCAUCGUUUCAAUGUGCUCGCAUGUACAUUAGUCUCUCAGACCGUAUGUCAUAUUUAACUAGCGGACGGGAUGUGUUUCAGGAUGUGUGGUUAAGCAGAGGGAGCGUGCCUGCAGGUUCCUCCAGGGCCCCGACCUCUAUGAUCCCAUUACAACAGCGCCAGCAGAACACUGCAGCGUGCGCGCCGUCCACACCGCUGCUAAGGCCUCGUGUAUUCAGCACACAGAGAUGCGACCCUUGCUUUGCUACUAUUUUUCACUUUGGCACUUGAAAUUGUGAUUGCAACUGAAAGAACAGGCUCAGUUUGCACCCCAGCCAUGAUUUUUUUUACAGAUUUGAUGAUCAAGUUAAUAUAAAAAAGACGUUGCCUGAGGUCUCUGUUGGACAUUUGAAGUAAAAGAAAUAACAAUUUGUAUUCACACAAGUGAAUCCAGACCAGACCAAAAUACUAAACACAAAUGCUCCUUGAGUCGGCUCCUGUGGGGAAGGAAAAUGUCCCUUAUUCUGAACCACAGCCUGUUCAAAAGCUAUUGAUUUAAUACAUUUAAUGUUAAAACGUGUUCACAGUUUUCAGCUACACUUUAAGCUGUGCUAGAAAACAAAAAAAUAAAAAAUAAAUUAUAUAUAUAUAUAUAU